Molecule: small nuclear RNA, 111 nt
Organism: Sceloporus undulatus (fence lizard)
Lineage: Eukaryota; Metazoa; Chordata; Lepidosauria; Squamata; Phrynosomatidae
Source: RefSeq, a predicted model, not a curated record
GUGAUUGUAACUUCGGCAUCACAUAUACUAAAAUUGGAACGAUACAGAAAAGAUUAGCAUGGCCCCUGCACAAGAAUGACACGCAAAUCACAACAAAAGCAUAUUCAGCAU